This 695-nucleotide long non-coding RNA is filed under the name Ictidomys tridecemlineatus (thirteen-lined ground squirrel). RNAcentral's name for it is "lncRNA (ENSSTOG00000034880.1)". The record is from RNAcentral. Lineage: Eukaryota; Metazoa; Chordata; Mammalia; Rodentia; Sciuridae.
GGUCCCCAGAACUGCAGUCUUUGCCUGCUUAGGAAUGGAGGAUGAAUGGAGAGUUAACCUGGAGAAGUAACAAAGAAAAGGGUCAUCCACAUCCUUUCGAUGUUUAUCUAAAGAGUUCGAGCCUUUCCCUUGUAUGACAAGUUUUUAAGCCAAGUGAUUCUAUACAAAGAGGAGCGCCAACUCCUCUGAUGACCUGCUGGCAAUGAGCAGGAACCUCUGUCUCCAGAGGACUUGUGGGAUGUGCUGUAGGGGAUGCACACCCAUUGUGGAGAGCUGUUUUAUAUUGGGCAGUUCAGGGCCAGGCUUUGUGAGCUAUGGACCAGCCGAGUAGCUAAAUGAAAAGGAGAUAGAUGUGUCAUAUGUGAAAAUAAAGGACCCAGAGGAUGAAGAUGAACAAUGAACUAACAACAUGGUGUCAGCGACGAACAGUCUGUAAAGAGCAAUGGUGGAAGGCCACAAGAAAAGUUCAGUUCAUCAAAACUGAGAAAGAAUCAGAAACUAAAUGCCAAUGUUUGGUUUUUACAAAGAGGGAAGCAAGCAAGUGUGGUGCUCACUGUUCAUAAUUCUCCUGUUUUGAGUUAAGUGGACUGGACAUCAGAGACCAGCUAUUCAUCAAAGAGAUCCUGGGAAGUUGGCCGUUUUCAUUUUGGUUGGUUUGUAUUUCCUUGGUUUAUUUAUUAUUUAAUUUUUAGUGC